AGGGAACUGAAUUCCGGGUAACGUGAAUGGUUGAAUCGGGAGACCCCCAUGCGGAGCAGUUCUUUGCCGUUUCUGACGUGAGAGCGAAAGCCUGGGAGCGACCAGAUUAGAUCCCUGGUAGUCCACGCCGUUAACGUGGAUGCUGAUGUGGGCCGUUUCCACGGGUCCGUGGUCCGAGCUACGCGUUUAGCAUCCCGCCUGGGGAGUACGGCCGCAAGGCUAAAACUCAAAGAAAUGNACGGGGCCCGCACAGCGGGGCGGAGCAUGCGGAUUAAUUCGAUGCAACGCGAAGACCNUUACCUGGGCUGNACAUGUUCCNGACGGUCGUAGAGAUACGGCUCCCUUCGGGGCGGGUUCACAGGUGGUGCAUGGUCGUCGUCAGCUCGUGUCGUGAGAUGUUGGGUUAAGUCCCGCAACGAGCGCAACCCUCGCCCCGUGUUGCCAGCGGAUUAUGCCGGGAACUCACGGGGGACCGCCGGGGUUAACUCGGAGGAAGGUGGGGAUGACGUCAGAUCAUCAUGCCCCUUACGUCCAGGGCUUCACGCAUGCUACAAUGGCCGGUACAACGGGAUGCGACGCGGCGACGCGGAGCGGAUCCCUGAAAACCGGUCUCAGUUCGGAUCGCAGUCUGCAACUCGACUGCGUGAAGGCGGAGUCGCUAGUAAUCGCGAAUCAGCAACGUCGCGGUGAAUGCGUUCCCGGGCCUUGUACACACCGCCCGUCAAGUCAUGAAAGUGGGCAGCACCCGAAGCCGGUGGCCUAACCCCUUGUGGGAUGGAGCCGUCUAAGGUGAGGCUCGUGAUUGGGACUAAGUCGUAACAAGGUAGCCGUACCGGAAGGUGCGGCUG
This 848-nucleotide ribosomal RNA is filed under the name human gut metagenome. Its description in RNAcentral is "bacterial SSU rRNA". It matches the Rfam family "Bacterial small subunit ribosomal RNA", at positions 656 to 1520 of the family's 1533-position model. The record is from RNAcentral.